This 100-nucleotide transfer RNA is filed under the name Sclerotinia borealis F-4128. It matches the Rfam family "tRNA". From Rfam's summary of the family: Transfer RNA (tRNA) molecules are approximately 80 nucleotides in length. Their secondary structure includes four short double-helical elements and three loops (D, anti-codon, and T loops). The record is from Rfam by way of RNAcentral. Lineage: Eukaryota; Fungi; Ascomycota; Leotiomycetes; Helotiales; Sclerotiniaceae.
UCCCUCGUGGCGCAAUUGGCUAGCGCGUUCGACUGUUAACUGAAGCAAUUCAUUCUGCAGAUUCAUCGAGAGGUUGGUGGUUCAAGCCCACCCGAGGGAG